This 653-nucleotide long non-coding RNA is filed under the name Vigna radiata. RNAcentral describes it as "long non-coding RNA (VRAD_LNC008927)". Lineage: Eukaryota; Viridiplantae; Streptophyta; Magnoliopsida; Fabales; Fabaceae. The record is from RNAcentral.
AGCUUUGUGGCUCUAACGAAAGCGAAGCCGCUCAAAAGCUUCCCACUUCUCUCCUCGGUGGCCUUGCCGGAGUCCUUACGAAGCCCUGUUUUGGUAUUCCGAAUACUAUCGAAACUUCGGUGGUCUGUGUCGUCGUUCCCUCUCUUGCUUUCGUUGUUGGAAGUUGUGUUGGUAAGAUUUUUUGAACUUUUUGUAUUAAUCGUAUCAUUGACUGUUGUGGUCUGCUUUACUAUGUUUAUGUAUUAACUUCACUCCUGCAAGUUAUUCGUUUUUAGGGUUUUUGUCAUUAUGGAUUUGUGUUUGUUUUGUGUCCGUGAUGUUGAUUUUUUUGUAGGUGAUGGUACCUUUACCGUUGUUUCAGUUUGAACUUGUCGGGUUUAGUGUAACCAGGUUUUCCUUUGGGGUUAACGUCAGGCAAGUUUUUGAUUGCAGAACAGGUGUUGUGUUUAUGUGGAUACGUGGUUAGUGGGUUGUGUAUACGUGCUUUCCUGGUUUGUAAUUUAGUAAGCCAAUUAACGUCAAUGUCAUAUUAUAUAUGAGUUAUGUUUCUUUCAAAAAAAAUUUUCCGGUUGGUUUAUUGGUUGUUUAAGUCCGUCAUGGUUGAAAGAACACAGUUUGUAUUUUGGUUUAUGUGUGAUGAGGCAAAGUGAGCA